Molecule: transfer RNA, 74 nt
Filed under: Acinetobacter baumannii
Lineage: Bacteria; Pseudomonadati; Pseudomonadota; Gammaproteobacteria; Moraxellales; Moraxellaceae
Description: tRNA-Ile
Rfam family: tRNA
About the family: Transfer RNA (tRNA) molecules are approximately 80 nucleotides in length.
Source: RNAcentral
GGGCCUAUAGCUCAGUCGGUUAGAGCAGCGGACUCAUAAUCCGUUGGUCCACAGUUCGAGUCUGUGUGGGCUCA